GCUCCUGAUCCGGGAUCGCUGGCACAUGUGCCGGAAGUAAGGGAGUUCCAGAAGCGGCUGCUCCACUUUUCGCCCGAAAUAGGCGUUGCACUUGUCGCACACCACCCCAACGGGGAGCACAUGGU
Molecule: ribosomal RNA, 125 nt
Filed under: uncultured eukaryote
Lineage: Eukaryota
Description: partial small subunit ribosomal RNA
Source: RNAcentral